GAUGAACGCUGGCGGCGUGCCUAAUACAUGCAAGUCGAGCGAACAGACGAGGAGCUUGCUCCUCUGACGUUAGCGGCGGACGGGUGAGUAACACGUGGAUAACCUACCUAUAAGACUGGGAUAACUUCGGGAAACCGGAUCUAAUACCGGAUAAUAUAUUGAACCGCAUGGUUCAAUAGUGAAAGACGGUUUUGCUGUCACUUAUAGAUGGAUCCGCGCCGCAUUAGCUAGUUGGUAAGGUAACGGCUUACCAAGGCAACGAUGCGUAGCCGACCUGAGAGGGUGAUCGGCCACACUGGAACUGAGACACGGUCCAGACUCCUACGGGAGGCAGCAGUAGGGAAUCUUCCGCAAUGGGCGAAAGCCUGACGGAGCAACGCCGCGUGAGUGAUGAAGGUCUUCGGAUCGUAAAACUCUGUUAUUAGGGAAGAACAAAUGUGUACGUAACUAUGCACGUCUUGACGGUACCUAAUCAGAAAGCCACGGCUAACUACGUG
This 497-nucleotide ribosomal RNA is filed under the name uncultured bacterium. Its description in RNAcentral is "partial 16S ribosomal RNA". It matches the Rfam family "Bacterial small subunit ribosomal RNA", at positions 28 to 507 of the family's 1533-position model. The record is from RNAcentral.